CUGCAACUCGCCUGCAUGAAGUCGGAAUUGCUAGUAAUCGCGGAUCAGCAUGCCGCGGUGAAUACGUUCCCGGGCCUUGUACACACCGCCCGUCACACCAUGGGAGUCGGUAACACCCGAAGCCGAUAGUCUAACGAAAGAGGACGUCGUCGAAGGUGGGAUUGAUGACUGGGGUGAAGUCGUAACAAGGUACC
This 194-nucleotide ribosomal RNA is filed under the name uncultured bacterium. RNAcentral's name for it is "partial 16S ribosomal RNA". It matches the Rfam family "Bacterial small subunit ribosomal RNA", at positions 1305 to 1500 of the family's 1533-position model. The record is from RNAcentral.